This 1139-nucleotide ribosomal RNA is filed under the name Westiellopsis prolifica GUEco1010. Its description in RNAcentral is "bacterial SSU rRNA". It matches the Rfam family "Bacterial small subunit ribosomal RNA", at positions 144 to 1314 of the family's 1533-position model. The record is from RNAcentral. Lineage: Bacteria; Bacillati; Cyanobacteriota; Cyanophyceae; Nostocales; Hapalosiphonaceae.
CACCCACUGGAAACGGUGGCUAAUACCGGGUAUGCCAGAGGUGAAAGGUUAACUGCCUGGAGAUGAGCUCGCGUCUGAUUAGCUGUUUGUGGUGUAAGGGACUACCAAGGCGACCAUUACUAGCUGGUCUGAAAGGAUGAUCAGCCACACUGGAACUGAAACACGGUCCAAACUCCUACCGGAGGCAGCAGUGGGGAAUUUUCCGCAAUGGGCGAAAGCCUGACUGAGCAAUACCGCGUGAGGGAGGAAGGCUCUUGGGUUGUAAACCUCUUUUCUCACGGAAUAAGCAAGUGAAGGUACCUGAAGAAUCACCAUCGGCAAACUCCGUGCCAGCCCCCGCGGUAAUACAGAGGAUGCAAGCGUUAUCCAGAAUGAUUGGGCGUAAAGCGUCCGUACGUGGCUGUGUGUGUCUGUUGUUAAAGAGUUUGGCUCACCCAAAUAAGGGCGGUAGAAACUACACAGCUAGAGUGCGUUCGGGGCAUAGGGAAUUCCUGGUGUAGCGGUGAAAUGCGUAUAGAUCAAGAAGAACACCGGUCGCGAACGCGCUCUGCUAGGCCGCAUCUGACACUGAGGGACGAACGCUAGGGGAGCGAAUGGGAUUAUAUACCCGCAGUACUCCUACCCAUACACGAUGGACACUAGGCCUUGAGAGUAUCGACUCUCUCAGUGCCCUAACUGACGCGUUAUGUAUCCCCGCCGGGGGAGUACGCACGCAUGUGUGAAACUCAGAGGAAUUGACGGGGGCCCGCACCAGCGGUGGAGUAUGUGGUUUAAUUCGAUGCAACGCGAAGAACCUUACCAGGGCUUGACAUGUCUGGAACUCUGGGGAAACUCGGAGGUGCCUUCGGGAGCCAGAACACAGGUGGUGCAUGGGGUCGUCAGCUCGUGUCGUGAGAUGUUGGGUUAAGUCCCGCAACGAGCGCAACCCUCGUACUUAGUUGCCAGCAUUUUGGAUGGGCACUCUAAGGAGACUGCCGGUGACAAACCGGAGGAAGGUGGGGAUGACGUCAAGUCAGCAUGCCCCUUACGUCCUGGGCUACACACGUACUACAAUGCUACGGACAAAGGGCAGCGAGACUGCGAAGUCAAGCAAAUCUCAGAAACCGUGGCUCAGUCAGAUCGCAGGCUGCAGUGGAGUG